UACGGGGGGUGCGAGCGUUGUCCGGAAUCACUGGGCGUAAAGGGCGCGUAGGUGGCGUCGUAAGUCUGUGGUGAAAGCCCGGAGCUCAACUCCGGGUCUGCCGCGGAUACUGCGAGGCUUGAGUGCUGUAGAGGGGGGUAGAAUGCCGGGUGUAGCGGUGGAAUGCGUAGAGAUCCGGAAGAACACCGGUGGCGAAGGCGGUCUGCUGGGCAGUUGCUGACACUGAGGCGCGACAGCGUGGGGAGCAAACAGG
RNAcentral lists this ribosomal RNA (253 nucleotides) under uncultured bacterium. RNAcentral describes it as "partial 16S ribosomal RNA". It matches the Rfam family "Bacterial small subunit ribosomal RNA", at positions 524 to 776 of the family's 1533-position model. The record is from RNAcentral.